Molecule: ribosomal RNA, 446 nt
Filed under: uncultured bacterium
Lineage: Bacteria
Description: bacterial SSU rRNA
Rfam family: Bacterial small subunit ribosomal RNA
Source: RNAcentral
ACUCCUACGGGAGGCAGCAGUGGGGAAUAUUGGACAAUGGGCGCAAGCCUGAUCCAGCCAUGCCGCGUGAGUGAUGAAGGCCCUAGGGUUGUAAAGCUCUUUCAGCGAGGAGGAUAAUGACGUUACUCGCAGAAGAACGCCCCGGCUAACUUCGUGCCAGCAGCCGCGGUAAUACGAAGGGGUUAGCGUUGUUCGGAAUCACUGGGCGUAAAGCGCACGUAGGCGGACUUUUAAGUCAGGGGUGAAUCCCGGGGCUCAACCCCGGAACUGCCUUUGAUACUGGAAGUCUUGAGUCCGAGAGAGGUGAGUGGAACUCCGAGUGUAGAGGUGAAAUUCGUAGAUAUUCGGAAGAACACCAGUGGCGAAGGCGGCUCACUGGCUCGGUACUGACGCUGAGGUGCGAAAGCGUGGGAGCAAACAGGAUUAGAUACCCUGGUAGACUGUCA